UACGUAGGGUGCGAGCGUUGUCCGGAAUUAUUGGGCGUAAAGAGCUCGUAGGCGGUCUGUCGCGUCUGCUGUGAAAACUCAGGGCUUAACCCUGAGCUUGCAGUGGGUACGGGCAGACUAGAGUGCGGUAGGGGAGACUGGAAUUCCUGGUGUAGCGGUGAAAUGCGCAGAUAGUCAGGAGGAACACCGGUGGCGAAGGCGGGUCUCUGGGCCGUAACUGACGC
This 224-nucleotide ribosomal RNA is filed under the name uncultured bacterium. RNAcentral describes it as "partial 16S ribosomal RNA". It matches the Rfam family "Bacterial small subunit ribosomal RNA", at positions 524 to 746 of the family's 1533-position model. The record is from RNAcentral.